RNAcentral lists this ribosomal RNA (468 nucleotides) under uncultured bacterium. Its description in RNAcentral is "partial 16S ribosomal RNA". It matches the Rfam family "Bacterial small subunit ribosomal RNA", at positions 28 to 507 of the family's 1533-position model. The record is from RNAcentral.
GACGAACGCUGGCGGCGUGCUUAACACAUGCAAGUCGAACGGAAAGGCCCUGCUAUUGUGGGGUGCUCGAGUGGCGAACGGGUGAGUAACACGUGAGUAACCUGCCCUUGACUUUGGGAUAACUUCAGGAAACUGGGGCUAAUACCGGAUAGGAGCUCCUGCUGCAUGGUGGGGGUUGGAAAGUUUCGGCGGUUGGGGAUGGACUCGCGGCUUAUCAGCUUGUUGGUGGGGUAGUGGCUUACCAAGGCUUUGACGGGUAGCCGGCCUGAGAGGGUGACCGGCCACAUUGGGACUGAGAUACGGCCCAGACUCCUACGGGAGGCAGCAGUGGGGAAUAUUGCACAAUGGGCGGAAGCGUGAUGCAGCAACGCCGCGUGCGGGAUGACGGCCUUCGGGUUGUAAACCGCUUUCGCCUGUGACGAAGCGUGAGUGACGGUAAUGGGUAAAGAAGCACCGGCUAACUACGUG